RNAcentral lists this ribosomal RNA (465 nucleotides) under uncultured bacterium. Its description in RNAcentral is "partial 16S ribosomal RNA". It matches the Rfam family "Bacterial small subunit ribosomal RNA", at positions 28 to 507 of the family's 1533-position model. The record is from RNAcentral.
GACGAACGCUGGCGGCGUGCUUAACACAUGCAAGUCGAACGGAAAGGCCCUGCUUGCAGGGUACUCGAGUGGCGAACGGGUGAGUAACACGUGGGUGAUCUGCCCUGCACUUCGGGAUAAGCUUGGGAAACUGGGUCUAAUACCGGAUAGGACCGCACUUUAGUGUGUGUGGUGGAAAGUUUUUUCGGUGUAGGAUGAGCUCGCGGCCUAUCAGCUCGUUGGUGGGGUAAUGGCCUACCAAGGCGGCGACGGGUAGCCGGCCUGAGAGGGUGUACGGCCACAUUGGGACUGAGAUACGGCCCAGACUCCUACGGGAGGCAGCAGGGGGGAAGAUUGCACAAUGGGCGCAAGCCGGAUGCAGAGACGCCGCGUGGGGGAUGAAGGCCUUCGGGUUGUAAACGCCUUUCGCUAGGGACGAAGCUUUUUGUGACGGUACCUAGAUAAGAAGCACCGGCUAACUACGUG